Cygnus olor (mute swan) is the source of this 1759-nucleotide long non-coding RNA. RefSeq lists it as uncharacterized. Lineage: Eukaryota; Metazoa; Chordata; Aves; Anseriformes; Anatidae. The record is from RefSeq and is a predicted model, not a curated record. The transcript has 2 exons.
AAUAGUUUUUGAUUUAAAAAAAAAAAAGUGUAACCUGAACUCUUAGAUGGCAAGCAAUCAGUUGUCAGAAUAAGAACUGAAAUACUUCUCCAGAACUGAAGUCUCACGAAUUUUUAUUUAAUGGCAUGUAAAACUAAGAAUGCGGGGAUUGUAAAAGUAGGGUCAUGUAUUAACUGACCGUUCCUUAAUUUCCAAAAAAGAGACGACUGAAGAACGACCGGCAGUAUUUUCUCCAUGUACCCUGUUUUCUACAGUAUUGUGUUGUUGCUGUUUUUUUUUUUUAAGAUUAGUUUGUUCAUUAAUAUGUCUUUCCCAUAAACACGAUAUACAUUUCAACCCAAGUAAAAUACAGGCAGGGUUUAUGGCUUCCAGUGAAUGGUGCUUGCCAUAAAUAAGCACGGACAGGUAAGAGGAACCAGCACUGCAAACUGCAUUGUCAAGGGGAGCAGUAAGGCCUUUUGAAGUGCUCUGAGCAGGAAGCAGCACAGCCUUUUUAAUUAGAGCACAUACAGCUGGAGGAUAUACAGGAGGAGUCUCUUCAGAAUUUAUUUUGGGAAGGGAGGGACAUAUCCUUCAGGUGUUCUCAUUAAUGCAGGCUUAAACACAGAGCAUAAAACCCAGUAUUUUAAAAAGAAAAAAAAAUAACCCUUUCCCCCCAAAUACCAGGGCUGAAGUCCUGCUUUGCUUAAAAUCAACUGAUGUUUUGCCAUUUAAUUCAAUGAGACCAUAAUUUCUUUAAAAAUAAUAAUAAUAUGGACUGCUUGAUCCUAUUCCCAUCAAUAAUAAGGCUCGAUCAGAAGAGUAAAACUUGCUCAUUUUUUAAUGCGCUGGUAUCCUGGAUCAGUGACCCCACUUCAGAUUGAAGCCCUCGGCUGUAGCGCGCUAACGAGUAACAUACUUGGGACGAGGAGCGGGAGCGUGCCAGCGCUCAUCAGUGAGGCUGCCUUGGACAGGACCUCGGCCUUGCACAACCCAGAGACGAGGCCAGCAGCUUAUUUGCAUCUGAAUGACUUCCUAAAGGGGGAGGACAGUAUCUGCUUUCUGAUUGUUAUCCAGCGUUAUUUCUACAUUGCCCUACAGACAAAAUCCUUUCUCAUUCCACUUGCGGGGCUGCAUAAAGGGUAGUGUCCCGAGCCCUUCAUGGAGAAGACAUCUCAGCUUGCCAGGCCCGGUGGGCUGGCAGGUGCCUGCUCGGUUUGGGCAGGGUCUGUGACGGGGAACAUCCAGGCGGAGAGGUGCAGGGCCGGCAGCCCCGCCGCAGUGCCCAGAGCCUCAGGCAGCCGCAGGGGUUGGGCUCCCCGCUGCCACGCACCUCGCUGAUGUGCUGAAGGCCGUAGAGCUGACAGCAGGGAAGCUCUGCAGUGUUUGCUUUAAAAUCAUUUUUCUUGUGGAUCUCUGGAGCCGUCUGGCAACUACUGUAUAACGCUAUAGCCUGGGAACUGAGGUGAAGUCAGGAAAACUUCUCAUUUUAAACCAGGUUUCCAUGCCACCUCCAAGCUGCUCACUUCCCUCUCGUGCAGCAGCCUGCCCACAACGGGGACCAGAGGGCUCCCGUCGCUCCUGCAGAGGUGGCCCAGGCUCUGGCUGCUGUCCAGCUGCCUCUUCUCGCCAGGACUGUUCUCCAGCUCCGCCUCCAGUUGUAGAUCCCACGGCAUCCCCUUGUCCCCAUCCCAACGUGUGCCUUAGGCCUGUUCCCGUGAGGCGAUCUGCUGGGGGAGCCGCUAUUGGAGCACCCAUCCUACCCCGUUUGCCCUGAUUU